Molecule: ribosomal RNA, 249 nt
Filed under: uncultured prokaryote
Description: partial 16S ribosomal RNA
Rfam family: Bacterial small subunit ribosomal RNA
Source: RNAcentral
UACGUAGGGGGCUAGCGUUAUCCGGAAUUACUGGGCGUAAAGGGUGCGUAGGCGGAUAUGUAAGUCAGCGGUGAAACUCACAGGCUCAACCUGUGCCGUGCCGUUGAAACUGUGUAUCUGGAAUGCGGAUGCUGUGGGAGGAAUGUGUAGUGUAGCGGUGAAAUGCAUAGAUAUUACACAGAACACCGAUUGCGAAGGCAUCUCACAAAGCCGUUAUUGACGCUGAGGCACGAAAGCAUGGGUAGCGAA